This 348-nucleotide unclassified non-coding RNA is filed under the name Hevea brasiliensis (rubber tree). Lineage: Eukaryota; Viridiplantae; Streptophyta; Magnoliopsida; Malpighiales; Euphorbiaceae. The record is from RNAcentral.
GUAAAAUAGCAAGUGAAGCACUAUCUUUUUCACAGCUUUCUAUUUUUGGGAACUCAUUAAUUCAAAGCUUGAAACUCUGUUGUUGGCAUCACCUACUUGGGAUGCUAUUGAAGAGGUCUCUUUCUUUUGUUACCUUGUUUGAGUGAGUGUGGGCAUUCCUAUCCAACCAAGCAUGGUAUUUACUUGCUGUCCUUGUGGAAUUGAGAAUCAAAACCCUGGGUUCUUACCCUUUACAUUUGCAACACACUGAAUCUAAGAUGUAGCCAGAUCAAAUUGAUUUCCUGGUCACCAUGUUUAAUUUUCUUGAUAAAACUUACAUAUCAUAAAUUUGGUCUCAGGAUUCCGCAA